UUGCUUCACAUAAGCGAAGUAGCGAAGUAGCGAAGUAGCGAACUAGCGUUGUUCAAGUAAGAAGAGUGAGGGAGAACAAUUGAAGCUUCACUCAUUUUCGAGAUAAGUUAACCCUUUUCAAUUUAUACCCUUUUUCUGCUGUUAAUCUUCUUAUUAAUCGUUACAAUUAGUGUUAAAUUUGCAACAAUGUGGGAAAAUUUGCCAAAGGAUGUAUUGUCAGACAUCUGCUUGAGACUUCCCAUGAAAACUCUUGUUAUAUGUGCUUGCACUAGCAAAACUCUGUUGAAUUUCAUCACUAGCCCUGAAUUUAUGGCUUCUCACAACAAAAAAUCCAAAGAUAAACCCUUUACAUUACUUAGGUACUAUAUAGAAGGAGAAAGAAGUUCCAAGGAGUAUUUUGCUUUACACCCAGAUAAUGGAUUUUCUGAAUCUAAUCUAAUGUUUCGAGAAUUGCCCGUCAAAUUUCUUCGUUGUAAUAGUUGCUUCAACUUUGUGGGUUCUUGUAAUGGGGUUAUUUGUUUGUCUGAUGACAUUUUUACAUACGCUGAUGUCAUAUAUCUGUGGAACCCUAGUAUAAGGAAAGCAGUAGAAGUCCCUUAUCCUAAUUUCACAUUUGGUCCAUGUGGUCCAUACGACAUGUGUGUUGGGUUUGGGUUCGAUAAGCUGACUAAUGAUUACAAGGUGGUUCGUCUUGUUUACCUUGUGCCAAAACAGCUUCCCCCACUUGUUGAGGUUUACUCAGUUAAUUCUGGAUCAUGGAGAACCAUCACUGCUUCUCGUCCUAUGUACUAUGUUCGCCAUAUGCUCGUGUUUUCUCUUGAUCAAGAAAGUUAUUCACAAUGUUAUUUGAAUGGGUAUUUGCAUUGGCCUGGAUUCAUUAUCCAACCCACCAAAGGUCAGAGUUAUCGGGAGGAAGCUUGGAGGGUUAUUGUGACUUUCAAUGUGCGAGAUGAAUUCUUUGGUGAAAUGAAAUUGCCUGCUUGUCUUGAGGGCUCUAAUACUAAGUCAAUUAAAGUGAAGAUCACAGUUUGCUACGAUAUGCUUUCGCUAAUUCUAUCUUCAAAUCAGAAAUGUGACUCCUCCAUAUGGGUGAUGAAAGAGUAUGGCAACAACGAUUCUUGGACUGAGUCUUUUAGGUUUAACAACCCAGCUGGAUACCCAGUGCCUAGGGCGUUGUACUUUCGGAAGAAUGAGAAUCUUUUAAUGUUAGCAAGUGGUUGUUGCUCUAACUGGAGAAGUAAGAGUAGUGCUCUCCGAGUGCUUUCUGUUGACUGCGAUAGAGAUCAAAAGGAGGUACUAGAGAACCUUGAGGGGGGACUGAAAGGAUUAUAUUUGGGAUCAUACAAAGAAGGUAUGGCGCUGUUCAAUGAGGGGAAAACUAUUCAGGAUGACGAGGUCAAAGAUGAAGUUCGGGUUGAUGAAUUGAAUGCGGGUAGAAUUCUUUCAAAGAACUUACCAUGUGGAUGUGACAUUGCUAAAGUUUGCUAGCGGACAUUGCAUAUUGGCCGGGAGCAAACCAAGGUGACGUGAGCUCACAAAAGGGGGACCACUCCAAAUUCAUCAUCUUUUGUCUUCAUGCUGAGACGGCCGUCACGGCAAUAGAAAACGACAAAUUAAAGGGAAUCUUCCCUCUGACAAGAACAAUCACAACAGUACAAGUGUCACAAGAUUUGAUAUCCUGUCAGGUGAAUAGUACGCCUAUAAAUAGCCAUCCAGUACUAUUCCUGCAGUUCUCUCGAACUUAAAGAUUGAGCAUCUCCAGUGAAGGUUUCAACAUUGCGAUUAAGAUGUAUGAGGAAAGGAUUUUGUGCCUGCUUGCUAUCAUUGAGAUUGUUGUGAUCUGUCUCUGAACAGCCAGCCAAGAUACCUAAUAUACUGCACUAACAACUUCUAGUCCCAUAUGAAAUUAUGACACCAGAUAUUAUCGAACGCAGUUAGAUCCUAUCAAACACAGUUAUUUAUUUUGUCGAAUUUUGAUCCUUUCUAACUGUGAUUUUUUCUCUUUGCUAUCGACAAAUUAUGUUCUAAUUAGGAACAUUGCUGCUUGAA
Molecule: RNA transcript, 2049 nt
Organism: Beta vulgaris subsp. vulgaris (sugar beet)
Lineage: Eukaryota; Viridiplantae; Streptophyta; Magnoliopsida; Caryophyllales; Amaranthaceae
Gene name: F-box protein CPR1
Exons: 3
Source: RefSeq, a predicted model, not a curated record